UUCUUAAAAAUCAACUAGGGGCGCCUGGGUGGCUCAGUUGGUUAAGCAUCUGACUUUGGUUCAGGUGAUGAUCUAGCAGUUCCUGUGUUUGAGCCUCACGGGGAUGG
Long non-coding RNA from Lynx canadensis (Canada lynx), 107 nucleotides. RefSeq lists it as uncharacterized. The transcript has 3 exons. The record is from RefSeq and is a predicted model, not a curated record. NCBI's taxonomy places the organism in Eukaryota, Metazoa, Chordata, Mammalia, Carnivora, Felidae.